This 429-nucleotide unclassified non-coding RNA is filed under the name fungal sp. RNAcentral describes it as "partial internal transcribed spacer region". The stretch from base 1 to 46 matches the Rfam family "Eukaryotic small subunit ribosomal RNA", at positions 1786 to 1831 of the family's 1831-position model. The record is from RNAcentral. Lineage: Eukaryota; Fungi.
AAGUCGUAACAAGGUAACCGUAGGUGAACCUGCGGUUGGAUCAUUACCAAUAAUAAAAAAAACAAUUAAGAACGGACGUAGCGUGAACGGAGGCUUGUCUGGGGGUGAGGCUGGCCGAGCAGAAGCUUGUCAUGUCUCCGGGGGAACCCAGCGGGCCGAAGGGAGCGUGAACCGUUCCAAAACAAAAACCACAAUGUGAAUCGUGCUGUCCCUGGCGGCGGGGGCAAAGUCCAGGGGAACCCCUGUGCUUUGGCCCGUCAGCCUGCGUGGUUUCCGCCAGGAAACCUGCGGGCCGUGGACAAACCGCCAACCAUGUCAGUAAACAAUUUUUUCUAUUGUCUGACUCAAUCUUUCUUUGAGACUAGUCUAGUCACAAAGAGAACAAUUUAAAACAUUAAACAACUUUUGGCAACGGAUCUCUUGGCUCUC